This 535-nucleotide long non-coding RNA is filed under the name Trifolium pratense (red clover). RNAcentral's name for it is "long non-coding RNA (TPRA_LNC011053)". The record is from RNAcentral. Lineage: Eukaryota; Viridiplantae; Streptophyta; Magnoliopsida; Fabales; Fabaceae.
GACAAUCAAUACAACAAUCAACAAAAAUCAUAAGAAUCCAUUUUCUAUUUCAACUAAUUUUAUAACUCUUUCUAAACCACAGUGUAAGCUGCAUUGGUGUCAAGAUAGUACUAACUAUACAUAACUUGUUAAAAAUUACUCAAAAUACAACCUAUAUUUCAGUUUGAAUGAAAUUUAGAGUGAAAUUACAAACACUACAAAUGAACCAAAAAUGCAUCCUAAUUCAUGUAACAUUAAGUACAUAUAACAUUACAAACAAAAUCAUCAAAUACACUCAUAUUCUUCCAUGCUUGCAAUACACUGUCAUCUCCAAAUACAAAUCUCAUAAGAAGGCCACUUGUAGUUGUAGCAUACAAUUCAACACCAAAGCCUUAGUCUCCAAAGUUGCAAACAUAAUGUAUCAUUUUAUUUCAUUCUAAGCAUAUAUGUACCAAUUACGGAAAAAUCUUAAUUCUAAGAAAAAAUAGUUUGAAACCUUGUUUCUAUACAAUAAACAAUGGUAAUGAAAUAGUAUAAAUUUAAUGGCUUUCUCUGC